GCCUUCUUAGUUCAGUGGUUAGAAUUUUUCACUAGUACUCGUCGUCUCUCCAAGACGCCUGCUACGAUGAAAGGGUCACCCGUUCAAUUCGGGUAGAAGGCA
Non-coding RNA from Apiotrichum porosum, 102 nucleotides. NCBI's taxonomy places the organism in Eukaryota, Fungi, Basidiomycota, Tremellomycetes, Trichosporonales, Trichosporonaceae. The record is from the annotation of a RefSeq genome assembly.